AACGAACGCUGGCGGCAGGCUUAACACAUGCAAGUCGAGCGAGACCGCCGGGUCUAGCGGCGGACGGGGGAGUAACGCGUGGGAACGUGCCCUUCUCUACGGAAUAGCGCCGGGAAACUGGGAGUAAUACCGGAUACGCCCUCUGGGGGAAAGGUUUAACGGAGAAGGAUCGGCCCGCGUUGGAUUAGGUGGUUGGUGGGGUAAUGGCCCACCACGACGUCGAUAGAUAGCUGGUUAGAGAGGAAGAUCAGACACACUGGGACGGGGACACGGCCCAGAAUCCUACGGGAGGGAGCAGAGGGGGAUCUUAGAAAGUGGGGUCAGCCCUGAUCGCGCCCGGCCGGGUGAGUGAUGAAGGCCGUAGGGAAGUAAAGCUCGUUCAGCUGGGAAGAUAAUGACGGUACCCGCAGAAGAAGCCCCGGCUAACUACGUG
RNAcentral lists this ribosomal RNA (433 nucleotides) under uncultured bacterium. Its description in RNAcentral is "partial 16S ribosomal RNA". It matches the Rfam family "Bacterial small subunit ribosomal RNA", at positions 29 to 507 of the family's 1533-position model. The record is from RNAcentral.